RNAcentral lists this ribosomal RNA (174 nucleotides) under uncultured bacterium. RNAcentral's name for it is "partial 16S ribosomal RNA". It matches the Rfam family "Bacterial small subunit ribosomal RNA", at positions 1317 to 1500 of the family's 1533-position model. The record is from RNAcentral.
UGCGUGAAGUUGGAAUCGCUAGUAAUCGCGGAUCAGCAUGCCGCGGUGAAUACGUUCCCGGGCCUUGUACACACCGCCCGUCACACCAUGGAAGUUGGGGGUGCCCAAAGCCGGCAAGCAAAUAUGCUGUCUAAGGCAAAACCAAUGACUGGGGUGAAGUCGUAACAAGGUAUC